This 492-nucleotide ribosomal RNA is filed under the name uncultured bacterium. Its description in RNAcentral is "partial 16S ribosomal RNA". It matches the Rfam family "Bacterial small subunit ribosomal RNA", at positions 29 to 507 of the family's 1533-position model. The record is from RNAcentral.
AGUGAACGCUGGCGGUAGGCCUAACACAUGCAAGUCGAACGGCAGCACAGUAAGAGCUUGCUCUUACGGGUGGCGAGUGGCGGACGGGUGAAGAAUACAUCGGAAUCUACUUUUUCGUGGGGGAUAACGUAGGGAAACUUACGCUAAUACCGCAUACGACCUACGGGUGAAAGCAGGGGAUCUUCGGACCUUGCGCGAUUGAAUGAGCCGAUGUCGGAUUAGCUAGUUGGCGGGGUAAAGGCCCACCAAGGCGACGAUCCGUAGCUGGUCUGAGAGGAUGAUCAGCCACACUGGAACUGAGACACGGUCCAGACUCCUACGGGAGGCAGCAGUGGGGAAUAUUGGACAAUGGGCGAAAGCCUGAUCCAGCCAUACCGCGUGAGUGAAGAAGGCCUUCGGGUUGUAAAGCCCUUUUGUUGGGGAAGAAAAGCAGCGGGUUAAUCCCCCGCUGUUCUGACGGUACCCAAAGAAUAAGCACCGGCUAACUUCGUG